GGGCGGUCUCCUCCUAAAGAGUAACGGAGGAGCACGAAGGUUGGCUAAUCCUGGUCGGACAUCAGGAGGUUAGUGCAAUGGCAUAAGCCAGCUUGACUGCGAGCGUGACGGCGCGAGCAGGUGCGAAAGCAGGUCAUAGUGAUCCGGUGGUUCUGAAUGGAAGGGCCAUCGCUCAACGGAUAAAAGGUACUCCGGGGAUAACAGGCUGAUACCGCCCAAGAGUUCAUAUCGACGGCGGUGUUUGGCACCUCGAUGUCGGCUCAUCACAUCCUGGGGCUGAAGUAGGUCCCAAGGGUAUGGCUGUUCGCCAUUUAAAGUGGUACGCGAGCUGGGUUUAGAACGUCGUGAGACAGUUCGGUCCCUAUCUGCCGUGGGCGCUGGAGAACUGAGGGGGGCUGCUCCUAGUACGAGAGGACCGGAGUGGACGCAUCACUGGUGUUCGGGUUGUCAUGCCAAUGGCACUGCCCGGUAGCUAAAUGCGGAAGAGAUAAGUGCUGAAAGCAUCUAAGCACGAAACUUGCCCCGAGAUGAGUUCUCCCUGACUCCUUGAGAGUCCUGAAGGAACGUUGAAGACGACGACGUUGAUAGGCCGGGUGUGUAAGCGCAGCGAUGCGUUGAGCUAACCGGUACUAAUGAACCGUGAGG
This 645-nucleotide ribosomal RNA is filed under the name Escherichia coli. Its description in RNAcentral is "partial 23S ribosomal RNA". It matches the Rfam family "Bacterial large subunit ribosomal RNA", at positions 2277 to 2916 of the family's 2925-position model. Lineage: Bacteria; Pseudomonadati; Pseudomonadota; Gammaproteobacteria; Enterobacterales; Enterobacteriaceae. The record is from RNAcentral.